AUGUACAGAUGUUUAUAUCUAUA
RNAcentral lists this non-coding RNA (23 nucleotides) under Arabidopsis thaliana (thale cress). Lineage: Eukaryota; Viridiplantae; Streptophyta; Magnoliopsida; Brassicales; Brassicaceae. The record is from RNAcentral.